This 1415-nucleotide long non-coding RNA is filed under the name Volvox carteri. RNAcentral's name for it is "long non-coding RNA (VCAR_LNC001676)". The record is from RNAcentral. Lineage: Eukaryota; Viridiplantae; Chlorophyta; Chlorophyceae; Chlamydomonadales; Volvocaceae.
GCUUGCGGCAUUUGCGAGUUUUCGCUCACUCAUGUUCGAGGGAAAAUUGCUUGCGUGCAUGGGGAGGAUGGAUGCGUUUGACCUUAAGAAGCACCCAAAAUCCUAAAAUUGUAGAUCGCCUGUCGUCACACGCCAUGCCACGUGUGAAAAUGUCUGUUGUUUAGCUUAGUGAGAGGCAAGUAGGUCGGACUCGGGGGUCAGUUUCAGAGCAAUUGAGGGAAGGGGGUGGGGCCAUGAGACCAUGUGCCUAAUUAGCACCAUUGUCAAAAAUGGACGUUUUCCAAUUCCAGGUAAAACACGAGGCGUUCCCAGUGUGACUUCGAUCACGCAGCCACGGCAGCCAGGUAUAACAACGGGCUUGUGAGGUGCCUCGGACUACAAGUUGCACGGUUUCAACAUCUGCGAAGUAGUUAGUGGUUUGCGCCUGCCAUUCUAGUCUUCACAGAUGUUCAUUGUGGCUUUCCAGGUUACUUGGAUAGGGACUCGGUGAUAUGCCCGCAUGCGGGUUUGGGCAGGGAACAUCACAAGAACUUACAAGACCAAGCGCUUGCGGCAUUUGCGAGUUUUCGCUCACUCAUGUUCGAGGGAAAAUUGCUUGCGUGCAUGGGGAGGAUGGAUGCGUUUGACCUUAAGAAGCACCCAAAAUCCUAAAAUUGUAGAUCGCCUGUCGUCACACGCCAUGCCACGUGUGAAAAUGUCUGUUGUUUAGCUUAGUGAGAGGCAAGUAGGUCGGACUCGGGGGUCAGUUUCAGAGCAAUUGAGGGAAGGGCGUUGGGCCAUGAGACCAUGUGCCUAAUUAGCACCAUUGUCAAAAAUGGACGUUUUCCAAUUCCAGGUAAAACACGAGGCGUUCCCAGUGUGACUUCGAUCACGCAGCCACGGCAGCCAGGUAUAACAACGGGCUUGUGAGGUGCCUCGGACUACAAGUUGCACGGUUUCAACAUCUGCGAAGUAGUUAGUGGUUUGCGCCUGCCAUUCUAGUCUUCACAGAUGUCCAUUGUGGCUUUCCAGGUUACUUGGAUAGGGACUCGGUGAUAUGCCCGCAUGCGGGUUUGGGCAGGGAACAUCACAAGAACUUACAAGACCAAGUGCUUGCGGCAUUUGCGAGUUUUCGCUCACUCAUGUUCGAGGGAAAAUUGCUUGCGUGCAUGGGGAGGAUGGAUGCGUUUGACCUUAAGAAGCACCCAAAAUCCUAAAAUUGUAGAUCGCCUGUCGUCACACGCCAUGCCACGCGUGAAAAUGUCUGUUAUUUAGCUUAGUGAGAGGCAAGUAGGUCGGACUCGGGGGUCAGUUUCAGAGGAAUUGAGGGAAGGGGGUGGGGCCAUGAGACCAUGUGCCUAAUUAGCACCAUUGUCAAAAAUGGACGUUUUCCAAUUCCAGGUAAAACACGAGGCGUUCCCAGUGUGACUUCGAUC